UAAAAGGGCAAAACAACCGAAAGGUUGUGACGCAAAGCUAAAGGACCUGUAAAAUGGCAGCCAGCUGC
RNAcentral lists this non-coding RNA (68 nucleotides) under human gut metagenome. RNAcentral's name for it is "Cyclic di-GMP-I riboswitch". It matches the Rfam family "c-di-GMP-I riboswitch aptamer", at positions 6 to 83 of the family's 87-position model. From Rfam's summary of the family: GEMM was predicted in a large-scale screen for bacterial structured RNA regulatory elements. RNAcentral also lists the same sequence under 1 other name. The record is from RNAcentral.